This 353-nucleotide long non-coding RNA is filed under the name Anas platyrhynchos platyrhynchos (common mallard). RNAcentral describes it as "lncRNA (ENSAPLG00000026919.1)". Lineage: Eukaryota; Metazoa; Chordata; Aves; Anseriformes; Anatidae. The record is from RNAcentral.
CAGUGAUCAGGAAGACAAAGCUGAUUGACUUCCAGCUGCAUCUGAGCCACCGUAGUUACUGCAGAUGUCACAUUUAGCACUGGAUUGUGAAAUGCUCGAAAACUGGAACCAUAGGAGCAUUAUUUAAUGCUAAGUGUUAUCCACAUCAUAUCUGAAGCUUGAACAUGCCAGGAAAACAUCCUUCACAUUCUGCAACUAAUCUAUCUGAGCUUUCAGGAUCAAUCGUGAAUUGGCUGGGGAACUGUUUAUAUUCAUAUUGUAAACCUGUGUUACUGUUGUGUCCUUCUUGUGAACCAGACCCCUCGUGCUUGUGUCCUGAAAUAGUAAAGAAGGUGGAAAAAAAUGAAUCAUAA